CCUACGGGAGGCAGCAGUGGGGAAUUUUGGACAAUGGGCGCAAGCCUGAUCCAGCAAUGCCGCGUGAGUGAAGAAGGCCUUCGGGUUGUAAAGCUCUUUUGUCAGGGAAGAAACGGCUGAGGUUAAUACCUUUGGCUAAUGACGGUACCUGAAGAAUAAGCACCGGCUAACUACGUGCCAGCAGCCGCGGUAAUACGUAGGGUGCAAGCGUUAAUCGGAAUUACUGGGCGUAAAGCGUGCGCAGGCGGUUUUGUAAGUCUGACGUGAAAUCCCCGGGCUCAACCUGGGAAUUGCGUUGGAGACUGCAAGGCUGGAGUCUGGCAGAGGGGGGUAGAAUUCCACGUGUAGCAGUGAAAUGCGUAGAGAUGUGGAGGAACACCGAUGGCGAAGGCAGCCCCCUGGGUCAAGACUGACGCUCAUGCACGAAAGCGUGGGGAGCAAACAGGAUUAGAUACCCUGGUAGUCCACGCCCUAAACGAUGUCUACUAGUUGUCGGGUCUUAAUUGACUUGGUAACGCAGCUAACGCGUGAAGUAGACCGCCUGGGGAGUACGGUCGCAAGNUUAAAACUUAAAGGAAAUUGACGA
This 586-nucleotide ribosomal RNA is filed under the name uncultured bacterium. RNAcentral describes it as "bacterial SSU rRNA". It matches the Rfam family "Bacterial small subunit ribosomal RNA", at positions 338 to 916 of the family's 1533-position model. The record is from RNAcentral.